CCGCUGGUGGGAGGCGUAGGCGAACUCCUCCAUCUCCUCGCGGGAGAUGUCCCAGUCCCGGGCGAUCAUCUCGGCCCCGGCGUAC
RNAcentral lists this transfer RNA (85 nucleotides) under Actinomadura sp. NBRC 104412. Its description in RNAcentral is "tRNA-Ala". The record is from RNAcentral. Lineage: Bacteria; Bacillati; Actinomycetota; Actinomycetes; Streptosporangiales; Thermomonosporaceae.